UACAGAGGGUGCAAGCGUUAAUCGGAAUUACUGGGCGUAAAGCGCGCGUAGGUGGUUUGUUAAGUUGAAUGUGAAAGCCCCGGGCUCAACCUGGGAACUGCAUCCAAAACUGGCAAGCUAGAGUACGAUAGAGGGUGGUGGAAUUUCCUGUGUAGCGGUGAAAUGCGUAGAUAUAGGAAGGAACACCAGUGGCGAAGGCGGCUUCCUGGUCUGCGACUGACGCUGUGGCGCGAAAGCUAGGGGAGCAAACGGG
RNAcentral lists this ribosomal RNA (253 nucleotides) under uncultured bacterium. RNAcentral describes it as "partial 16S ribosomal RNA". It matches the Rfam family "Bacterial small subunit ribosomal RNA", at positions 524 to 776 of the family's 1533-position model. The record is from RNAcentral.